CGGGCAGGGCAGCUGCUGGCACAGCAAUGUGCGAGAGGAAAGUCCGAGCCCCAUAGAGCAGGAUAACGGCUAACGGCCGCCGAGGGUGACCUCAGGGAAAGUGCAACAGAGAGAUACCGCCAAACCUCCCGGCUUCCCGGGCAGGUGGCAAGGAUGGAAAGGCGAGGUAAGAGCUCACCAGCGUGGUGGAGACAUCACGGCUAUGUAAACCCUAUCCGGAGCAACACCGACUUGAAGUGGUCUGCUCGGCCUAUACUUCAGAAGGGUGGCUUGAACGGCCCAGCAAUGGUCCGUCUAGAUAGAUAGUUGCCUUAAACGACAGAACUCGGCUUAUUACCCCGGUC
Molecule: RNase P RNA, 344 nt
Filed under: bovine gut metagenome
Description: Bacterial RNase P class A
Rfam family: Bacterial RNase P class A
About the family: Ribonuclease P (RNase P) is a ubiquitous endoribonuclease, found in archaea, bacteria and eukarya as well as chloroplasts and mitochondria.
Source: RNAcentral